GAUGAACGCUGGCGGCGUGCCUAAUACAUGCAAGUCGAGCGAACAGACGAGGAGCUUGCUCCUCUGACGUUAGCGGCGGACGGGUGAGUAACACGUGGAUAACCUACCUAUAAGACUGGGAUAACUUCGGGAAACCGGAGCUAAUACCGGAUAAUAUAUUGAACCGCAUGGUUCAAUAGUGAAAGACGGUUUUGCUGUCACUUAUAGAUGGAUCCGCGCCGCAUUAGCUAGUUGGUAAGGUAACGGCUUACCAAGGCAACGAUGCGUAGCCGACCUGAGAGGGUGAUCGGCCACACUGGAACUGAGACACGGUCCAGACUCCUACGGGAGGCAGCAGUAGGGAAUCUUCCGCAAUGGGCGAAAGCCUGACGGAGCAACGCCGCGUGAGUGAUGGAGGUCUUCGGAUCGUAAAGCUCUGUUAUUAGGGAAGAACAAAUGUGUAAGUAACUAUGCACGUCUUGACGGUACCUACUCAGAAAGCCACGGCUAACUACGUG
RNAcentral lists this ribosomal RNA (497 nucleotides) under uncultured bacterium. RNAcentral describes it as "partial 16S ribosomal RNA". It matches the Rfam family "Bacterial small subunit ribosomal RNA", at positions 28 to 507 of the family's 1533-position model. The record is from RNAcentral.